This 28-nucleotide non-coding RNA is filed under the name Rattus norvegicus (Norway rat). Lineage: Eukaryota; Metazoa; Chordata; Mammalia; Rodentia; Muridae. The record is from RNAcentral.
UAGCCACAGCGUCAAACUAUUGCUGCCC